This 514-nucleotide long non-coding RNA is filed under the name Lonchura striata (white-rumped munia). RNAcentral describes it as "domestica (Bengalese finch) lncRNA (ENSLSDG00000016762.1)". Lineage: Eukaryota; Metazoa; Chordata; Aves; Passeriformes; Estrildidae. The record is from RNAcentral.
UCAGUGAUACAUGUAAGGAUUAGUCACCACCUUACAGUAAAUCUGUGUGGUGCUCGCUGGGGAUGUGUCUCUAUGGAGCUGUGCUCAGCAAGCUUUGUACACUGAGAAUGCAGAUGGAAUUUCAUUAUUUGCUGUAUUUUGAAUAGGACGAGGAGAUGUGUCUGAUAAGAUACGUCACUUUGAGAUCACAGAAUGAAAGCAGCAUGAAAUGUUAUGGCAAAGACAGCACAAGAAGACACAAGAAUCUCACAAAUCCUCAAAAAUCAGGUGCUUGGCACACUAAACUUACUGAUCUGUGUAGGAUUUGUGCUGUGGUCCAUUCAUUGAAGAUGUGAAACAACAUCAAGUCUGAGAUUGGAGUUACUGACAGACUGGAGGAAAUUUUAGUCCUUGUGAUGCACGUGGACAUGCUGAAUUAUAAGUAAUUCUAGCUUCUUGUCCCCUCCCCUCCCUUCCCCUCACUCAGCUAUCUCAGGGUUCAUAGAGAUUUCAAUGGUUUGUGUGCCUGUAAGUU